AGUGAACGCUGGCGGUAGGCCUAUCACAUGCAAGUCGAACGGCAGCACAGUAAUAGCUUGCUCUUACGGGUGGCGAGUGGCGGACGGGUGAGGAAUACAUCGGAAUCUACUUUUUCGUGGGGGAUAACGUAGGGAAACUUACGCUAAUACCGCAUACGACCUACGGGUGAAAGCAGGGGAUCUUCGGACCUUGCGCGAUUGAAUGAGCCGACGUCGGAUUAGCUAGUUGGCGGGGUAAAGGCCCACCAAGGCGACGAUCCGUAGCUGGUCUGAGAGGAUGAUCAGCCACACUGGAACUAAGACACGGUCCAGACUCGUACGAGAGGCAGCAGUGGGGAAUAUUGGACAAUGUGCGCAAGCCUGAUCCAGCCAUACCGCGUGGGUGAAGAAGGCCUUCGGGUUGUAGAGACCUUUUGUUGGGAAAGAAAAGCAGCAGGUUAAUACCCCGCUGUUCUGACGGUACCCAAAGAAUAAGCACCGGCUAACUUCGUG
RNAcentral lists this ribosomal RNA (492 nucleotides) under uncultured bacterium. RNAcentral describes it as "partial 16S ribosomal RNA". It matches the Rfam family "Bacterial small subunit ribosomal RNA", at positions 29 to 507 of the family's 1533-position model. The record is from RNAcentral.